RNAcentral lists this transfer RNA (73 nucleotides) under Deltaproteobacteria bacterium. RNAcentral's name for it is "tRNA-Ala". It matches the Rfam family "tRNA". From Rfam's summary of the family: Transfer RNA (tRNA) molecules are approximately 80 nucleotides in length. Their secondary structure includes four short double-helical elements and three loops (D, anti-codon, and T loops). Further hydrogen bonds mediate the characteristic L-shaped molecular structure. tRNAs have two regions of fundamental functional importance: the anti-codon, which is responsible for specific mRNA codon recognition, and the 3' end, to which the tRNAs corresponding amino acid is attached (by aminoacyl-tRNA synthetases). tRNAs cope with the degeneracy of the genetic code in two manners: having more than one tRNA (with a specific anti-codon) for a particular amino acid; and 'wobble' base-pairing, i.e. permitting non-standard base-pairing at the 3rd anti-codon position. The record is from RNAcentral. Lineage: Bacteria; Pseudomonadati; Myxococcota; Myxococcia.
GGGGGCGUAGCUCAACUGGGAGAGCACCUGCUUUGCACGCAGGGGGUAACGAGUUCGACCCUCGUCGCCUCCA